This 633-nucleotide ribosomal RNA is filed under the name Candidatus Azambacteria bacterium. RNAcentral's name for it is "bacterial SSU rRNA". It matches the Rfam family "Bacterial small subunit ribosomal RNA", at positions 875 to 1533 of the family's 1533-position model. Lineage: Bacteria; Candidatus Azamiibacteriota. The record is from RNAcentral.
GGGAAGUACGAGCGCAAGCUUAAAACUCAAAGGAAUAGACGGGGACUCGCACAAGCGGUGGAGCAUGUGGUUCAAUUCGACAGUAAACGAAAAACCUUACCAGGGCUUGACACUCUAACAAAAACCCGCCGAAAGGCAGGUGUGCUCACAAGGCGGUUAGAGCAGGUACUGCAUGGUUGUCGUCAGCUCGUACCUUGAGGUGUUCCGUUAAGUCGGGAAACGAGCGCAACCCCUGUUGCCAGUUACAAGUGUCUGGCGAAACUGCCGGCGUCAGCCGGAGGAAGGAGGGGAUAACGUCAAAUCAGCAUGGUCCUUUGAUGCCCUGGGCCACACACGUGCUACAAUGGAGAGUACAAUGGGUCGCCAACCCGCAAGGGGGAGCUAAUCCCACCAAAACUUUCCUCAGUUCAGAUUGAGGGCUGCAACUCGCCCUCAUGAAGUAGGAAUCGCUAGUAAUCGUGGAUCAGCAUGCCACGGUGAAUACGUUCUCGAGUCUUGUACUCACCGCCCGUCAUACCAAGGGAGCCGGGAAGACCCUAAGGUCGCCUUAGGCGACUCAAGGUCAGCUCGGUAACAAGGGUGAAGUCGUAACAAGGCAUCCCUAGCGGAAGCUGGGGAUGGAUCAUCUCCUUU